RNAcentral lists this small nucleolar RNA (62 nucleotides) under Euglena gracilis. RNAcentral's name for it is "Eg-m62 box C/D methylation-guide snoRNA". Lineage: Eukaryota; Euglenozoa; Euglenophyceae; Euglenales; Euglenaceae. The record is from RNAcentral.
GGGCUGAUGAUCUGUGCGAGGCAUUUGCCUGAUAAAGAAUGAUGCUGACCGUUUGACCUGAU